Molecule: long non-coding RNA, 218 nt
Filed under: Lathyrus oleraceus (garden pea)
Lineage: Eukaryota; Viridiplantae; Streptophyta; Magnoliopsida; Fabales; Fabaceae
Description: Pisum sativum (pea) long non-coding RNA (PSAT_LNC005359)
Source: RNAcentral
AAAAACAGAGGUUUGUCCCCAUCUGCUCUCUAUCUCUCUCACCUUUUUUCAUUUCUCAGGCUUCAUCAACUUCCAUCAUUUAAAAAAACAACCAAAAAACAUUCUUCUUUUCCCCUCAUCCACCAUAACAUUGCCCUUCAUAGCCUCCCUCACAACCCCAUAUUUCUAAACUUCAAAACAUCCAUAAAACAUUAACACAAUACCACCCUUCUCCCUUC